This 153-nucleotide ribosomal RNA is filed under the name uncultured fungus. Its description in RNAcentral is "5.8S ribosomal RNA". It matches the Rfam family "5.8S ribosomal RNA". From Rfam's summary of the family: 5.8S ribosomal RNA (5.8S rRNA) is a component of the large subunit of the eukaryotic ribosome. It is transcribed by RNA polymerase I as part of the 45S precursor that also contains 18S and 28S rRNA. The record is from RNAcentral. Lineage: Eukaryota; Fungi.
AACUUUCAACAACGGAUCUCUUGGUUUUGGCAACGAUGAAGAACGCAGCGAAAUGCGAUAAUUAAUGUGAAUUGCAGAAUUCAGUGAAUCAUCGAAUCUUUGAACGCACACUGCGCCCCCUGGUAUUCCGGGGGGCACGCCUGUCCGAACGCC